GAGGGUAUAGUUCAGUAGUAGAGCACAUGCUUAGCAUGCAUGAGGUCCUGGGUUCAAUCCCCAGUACCUCCA
RNAcentral lists this transfer RNA (72 nucleotides) under Camelus ferus (Wild Bactrian camel). It matches the Rfam family "tRNA". Rfam says of the family: Transfer RNA (tRNA) molecules are approximately 80 nucleotides in length. Lineage: Eukaryota; Metazoa; Chordata; Mammalia; Artiodactyla; Camelidae. The record is from Rfam by way of RNAcentral.